Molecule: unclassified non-coding RNA, 113 nt
Organism: Otolemur garnettii (small-eared galago)
Lineage: Eukaryota; Metazoa; Chordata; Mammalia; Primates; Galagidae
Rfam family: Y RNA
About the family: Y RNAs are components of the Ro ribonucleoprotein particle (Ro RNP), in association with Ro60 and La proteins. The Y RNAs and Ro60 and La proteins are well conserved, but the function of the Ro RNP is not known. In humans the RNA component can be one of four small RNAs -- hY1, hY3, hY4 and hY5.
Source: Ensembl
GGCUGGUCUGAAAGUAGUGAGUUAUCUCACUUGAUUGUUCACAGUCAGUUACAGAUUGAACUCCUUGUUCUACUCUUUCCCCCCUUCUCACUACUGCACUUGACUAGUCUUAA